This 525-nucleotide ribosomal RNA is filed under the name uncultured bacterium. RNAcentral describes it as "partial 16S ribosomal RNA". It matches the Rfam family "Bacterial small subunit ribosomal RNA", at positions 355 to 896 of the family's 1533-position model. The record is from RNAcentral.
UGGGGAAUAUUGGACAAUGGGGGCAACCCUGAUCCAGCCAUGCCGCGUGAGUGAUGAAGGCCUUCGGGUUGUAAAGCUCUUUUGGCGGGGACGAUGAUGACGGUACCCGCAGAAUAAGCCCCGGCUAACUUCGUGCCAGCAGCCGCGGUAAGACGAAGGGGGCUAGCGUUGUUCGGAAUUACUGGGCGUAAAGCGAGUGUAGGCGGUUGCCGUAGUCAGGUGUGAAAGCCUUGAGCUCAACUCAAGAAAUGCACUUGAUACUGGGUGACUAGAGGACCGGAGAGGAUAGUGGAAUUCCCCAGUGUAGUGGUGAAAUACGUAGAGAUUGGGAAGAACACCAGUGGCGAAGGCGGCUAUCUGGACGGUUACUGACGCUAAGACUCGAAAGCGUGGGGAGCAAACAGGAUUAGAUACCCUGGUAGUCCACGCCGUAAACGAUGGGUGCUAGACGUUGGCGAGCUUGCUCGUCAGUGUCGCAGCUAACGCGUUAAGGCACCCCGCCUGGGGAGUACGGCCGCAAGGUUG